RNAcentral lists this ribosomal RNA (498 nucleotides) under uncultured bacterium. RNAcentral describes it as "partial 16S ribosomal RNA". It matches the Rfam family "Bacterial small subunit ribosomal RNA", at positions 29 to 523 of the family's 1533-position model. The record is from RNAcentral.
AUUGAACGCUGGCGGCAUGCCUUACACAUGCAAGUCGAACGGUAACGCGGGGCAACCUGGCGACGAGUGGCGAACGGGUGAGUAAUAUAUCGGAACGUGCCCAGUAGUGGGGGAUAGCCCGGCGAAAGCCGGAUUAAUACCGCAUACGACCUAUGGGUGAAAGCGGGGGAUCGCAAGACCUCGCGCUAUUGGAGCGGCCGAUAUCAGAUUAGGUAGUUGGUGGGGUAAAAGCCUACCAAGCCGACGAUCUGUAGCUGGUCUGAGAGGACGACCAGCCACACUGGGACUGAGACACGGCCCAGACUCCUACGGGAGGCAGCAGUGGGGAAUUUUGGACAAUGGGCGCAAGCCUGAUCCAGCCAUGCCGCGUGCGGGAAGAAGGCCUUCGGGUUGUAAACCGCUUUUGUCAGGGAAGAAAUCCUCUGGGUUAAUACCUCGGGGGGAUGACGGUACCUGAAGAAUAAGCACCGGCUAACUACGUGCCAGCCGCCGCGGUAA